Molecule: ribosomal RNA, 465 nt
Filed under: uncultured bacterium
Lineage: Bacteria
Description: bacterial SSU rRNA
Rfam family: Bacterial small subunit ribosomal RNA
Source: RNAcentral
CCUACGGGUCGCACCAGUGGGGAAUAUUGCACAAUGGGCGCAAGCCUGAUGCAGCCAUGCUGCGUGUAUGAAGAAGGCCUUCGGGUUGUAAAGUACUUUCAGCGGGGAGGAAGGCGAUAAGGUUAAUAACCUUGUCGAUUGACGUUACCCGCAGAAGAAGCACCGGCUAACUCCGUGCCAGCAGCCGCGGUAGUACGGAGGGUGCAAGCGUUAAUCGGAAUUACUGGGCGUAAAGCGCCCGCAGGCGGUCUGUUAAGUCGGAUGUGAAAUCCCCGGGCUCAACCUGGGAACUGCAUUCGAAACUGGCAGGCUAGAGUCUUGUAGAGGGGGGUAGAAUUCCAGGUGUAGCGGUGAAAUGCGUAGAGAUCUAGAGGAAUACCGGUGGCGAAGGCGGCCCCCUGGACAGAGACUGACGCUCAGGUGCGAAAGCGUGGGGAGCAAACAGGAUUAGAUACCCGGGUAGUC